AAAACGUGUUUUCAAUUCAAAUUAAACAAGGAGUAACAGGCACCGCUCCUCAGUCCAGAGGCCUGGCCCUGCCAAGAAGGCGCUCUCCGGAAUCAACACCUGGGGGCUUGGAAGGAUGUUUCGCUCAGAUCGAAUGUGGAGCUGCCAUUGGAAAUGGAAGCCCAGUCCUCUCCUGUUCUUAUUUGCUUUAUAUAUCAUGUGUGUUCCUCACUCAGUGUGGGGAUGUGCCAACUGCCGAGUGGUUUUGUCCAACCCUUCUGGGACCUUUACUUCUCCAUGCUACCCUAACGACUACCCAAACAGCCAGGCUUGCAUGUGGACGCUCCGAGCCCCCACCGGUUAUAUCAUUCAGAUAACAUUUAACGACUUUGACAUUGAAGAAGCUCCCAAUUGCAUUUAUGACUCAUUAUCCCUUGAUAAUGGAGAGAGCCAGACUAAAUUUUGUGGAGCAACUGCCAAAGGCCUAUCAUUUAACUCAAGUGCGAAUGAGAUGCAUGUGUCCUUUUCAAGUGACUUUAGCAUCCAGAAGAAAGGUUUCAAUGCCAGCUACAUCAGAGUUGCCGUGUCCUUAAGGAAUCAAAAGGUCAUUUUACCCCAGACAUCAGAUGCUUACCAGGUUCCUACCUGAUCCCACUCCCAGCAGCAGAACUGGCCAGC
Molecule: small RNA, 657 nt
Filed under: Pan troglodytes (chimpanzee)
Lineage: Eukaryota; Metazoa; Chordata; Mammalia; Primates; Hominidae
Description: processed transcript
Source: RNAcentral